Non-coding RNA from Hordeum vulgare subsp. vulgare (domesticated barley), 125 nucleotides. NCBI's taxonomy places the organism in Eukaryota, Viridiplantae, Streptophyta, Magnoliopsida, Poales, Poaceae. The record is from Rfam.
GAAGUACUUCCUUCGUCCGGAAUUACUUGUCGCAUAAACGAAUGAAAAUGGAUGUAUCUAGAACUAAAAUACAUCUAGAUACAUUCAUUCCUAUGACAAGUACUUCCGGAUGGAGGAAGUAUUUU